GUGAAAGGCCAAUCAAACUCGGAGAUAGCUGGUUCUCCGCGAAAUCUAUUUAGGUAGAGCGUCAUCCGAAUACCCCGGGGGGUAGAGCACUGGAUGGGUAAUGGGGCCCCACAGGCUUACUGAUCCUAACCAAACUCCGAAUACCGAGGAGUACUAGAUGGCAGACAGACUGCGGAUGCUAACGUCCGUAGUCGAGAGGGAAACAACCCUGACCUACAGCUAAGGCCCCCAAUUCAUGGCUAAGUGGGAAAGCAGGUGAGACGACCAAAACAACCAG
This 277-nucleotide ribosomal RNA is filed under the name Alexandrium margalefii. Its description in RNAcentral is "partial Bacterial large subunit ribosomal RNA". It matches the Rfam family "Bacterial large subunit ribosomal RNA", at positions 821 to 1096 of the family's 2925-position model. The record is from RNAcentral. Lineage: Eukaryota; Dinophyceae; Gonyaulacales; Pyrocystaceae.